Molecule: ribosomal RNA, 253 nt
Filed under: uncultured bacterium
Lineage: Bacteria
Description: partial 16S ribosomal RNA
Rfam family: Bacterial small subunit ribosomal RNA
Source: RNAcentral
UACGAGGGGGGCUAGCGUUGCUCGGAAUGACUGGGCGUAAAGGGCGCGUAGGCGGAUGGCACAGUCAGAUGUGAAAUUCCCGGGCUUAACCUGGGGGCUGCAUUUGAUACGUGUGAUCUAGAGUGAGGAAGAGGGUCGUGGAAUUCCCAGUGUAGAGGUGAAAUUCGUAGAUAUUGGGAAGAACACCGGUGGCGAAGGCGGCGACCUGGUCCUUGACUGACGCUGAGGCGCGAAAGCGUGGGGAGCGAACAGG